Molecule: ribosomal RNA, 303 nt
Filed under: Bacillus pumilus
Lineage: Bacteria; Bacillati; Bacillota; Bacilli; Caryophanales; Bacillaceae
Description: bacterial SSU rRNA
Rfam family: Bacterial small subunit ribosomal RNA
Source: RNAcentral
GGCGUAAAGGGCUCGCAGGCGGUUUCUUAAGUCUGAUGUGAAAGCCCCCGCCCUCUACCGGGGAGGGUCAUUGGAAACUGGGGAACUUGAGUGCCCUAGAGGAGAGUGGAAUUCCACGUGUAGCGGUGAAAUGCGUAGAGAUGUGGAGGAACACCAGUGGCGAAGGCGACUCUCUGGUCUGUAACUGACGCUGAGGAGCGAAAGCGUGGGGAGCGAACACGAUUAGAUACCCUGGCAGUCCACGCCGUAGGCGAUGAGUGCGAAGUGUUAGGGGGUUUCCGCCCCCUAGAGCUGCCGCUAACG